This 446-nucleotide ribosomal RNA is filed under the name uncultured bacterium. RNAcentral's name for it is "bacterial SSU rRNA". It matches the Rfam family "Bacterial small subunit ribosomal RNA", at positions 29 to 523 of the family's 1533-position model. The record is from RNAcentral.
AACGAACGCUGGCGGCAGGCUUAACACAUGCAAGUCGAACGCCCCGCAAGGGGAGUGGCGCACGGGUGAGUAACGCGUGGGAAUAUGCCCUUCGGUUCGGAAUAACACAGGGAAACUUGUGCUAAUACCGGAUACGAUCUACGGAUGAAAGAUUUAUCGCCGAGGGAGUAGCCCGCGUAGGAUUAGCUAGUUGGUGAGGUAAUGGCUCACCAAGGCGACGAUCCUUAGCUGGUCUGAGAGGAUGAUCAGCCACACUGGGACUGAGACACGGCCCAGACUCCUACGGGAGGCAGCAGUGGGGAAUAUUGGACAAUGGGCGAAAGCCUGAUCCAGCCAUGCCGCGUGAGUGAUGAAGGCCUUAGGUUGUAAGACUCUUUCGCCAGGGAAGGUAAUGACGGUACCUGGAAAGAAGACCUCGGCUAACUCCGUGCCAGCAGCCGCGGUAA